Pseudonaja textilis is the source of this 293-nucleotide non-coding RNA. The record is from RefSeq and is a predicted model, not a curated record. NCBI's taxonomy places the organism in Eukaryota, Metazoa, Chordata, Lepidosauria, Squamata, Elapidae.
GCAUAAGGCAUGGGAAAAUGGGGCGAUGGAGUGUAGCAUCGGCCCUGCAGGAUUGCGCCUUCCGACGCAUCCCCAAGCGAGGUUGAACACCUUUCAACAAGAGGCAUCAGUAAAAACUUGUGGAUACCAGGAAGUGUCAUGGCAAGAGGCUGCAGUUCUGGAGAAAAGGAUCUUAGAAGAUAGGUUUCUGAUCGAUCUGAACAUUUGCAUUGUUAAGAUGGUUGCCUCCUGUUAACAUGUUUUGUAAAUAAAUUUCCACACUUGCAUGCAUUAAGUUUAAUUUCCAAAUGCAC